This 893-nucleotide ribosomal RNA is filed under the name uncultured marine crenarchaeote. RNAcentral describes it as "bacterial SSU rRNA". It matches the Rfam family "Archaeal small subunit ribosomal RNA", at positions 20 to 903 of the family's 1478-position model. The record is from RNAcentral. Lineage: Archaea; Thermoproteati; Thermoproteota.
GAGGUCACUGCUAUUGGGGUUCGGCUAAGCCAUGCGAGCGGAGGGCGCGGUCGCAAGAUCGUGGCCCCGCAAACGGCUCAGCAACACGUAGUCAACCUACCCUUGGGACGGGGACAAUCUCGGGAAACUGAGGCUAAUCCCCGAUAGGCGAGAGAUGCUGGAAUGCUUUCUCGCUCAAAGCUCCGGCGCCCGAGGAUGGGACUGCGGCCUAUCAGGCUGUUGGUGGUGUGAUGGACCACCAAACCUACGACGGGUACGGGCGAUGGGAGUCGGAGCCCGGAGAUGGGGACUGAGACAAGGCCCCAGGCCCUACGGGGCGCAGCAGGCGCGAAAACUCCGCAAUGCGCGCAAGCGUGACGGGGGAAUCCCAAGUGCCGUUGGUCUUUUGAUCGACGGCUUUUCGGAAGUCUAAGAAGCUUCCGGAAUAAGGGCUGGGUAAGGCUGGUGCCAGCCGCCGCGGUAACACCAGCAGCCCAAGUGGUGGCCGCGAUUAUUGGGCCUAAAGCGCUCGUAGCCGGAUCAGCAAGUCCUUUGUGAAAUCGGGCCGCCUAACGGUUCGGCGUGCAAAGGAUACUGUUGGUCUUGAGACCGGGAGAGGUCGGAGGUACUCCUGGGGUAGCGGUGAAAUGCUGUAAUCCUGGGGGGACCACCAGUGGCGAAGGCGUCCGACCAGAACGGAUUUGACGGUGAGGGGCGAAGGCUAGGGGAGCGAACGGGAUUAGAUACCCCGGUAGUCCUAGCUGUAAAGCAUGCGGGCCAGGUGUCUAGUGCUCCUCGAGGGCGCUAGGUGCCGGAGGGAAGCCGUUAAGCCCGCCGCCUGGGAAGUACGGCCGCAAGGCUGAAACUUAAAGAAAUUGGCGGGGGAGCACCACAAGGGGUGGAACCUGCGGUUC